This 1106-nucleotide ribosomal RNA is filed under the name Candelaria concolor. RNAcentral's name for it is "SSU rRNA". It matches the Rfam family "Bacterial small subunit ribosomal RNA", at positions 370 to 1293 of the family's 1533-position model. Lineage: Eukaryota; Fungi; Ascomycota; Candelariomycetes; Candelariales; Candelariaceae. The record is from RNAcentral.
AAUAGCCUAACGGCUGAACCAGCAACUUGGAGGAAUGUAUAGUGUAAGCUAGUUGUAUUGAUAAUUAAUACAAUAUUGACUAUGUCAAAUAAAGUUCUAGAUAAAAUAAUGAUUAUGACAAUUUUUUAUCUAUAUGUCUUGGCCAAAACUCGUGCCAGCAGCCGCGGUAAUACGAGGAAGACUAGUGUUAUUCAUCUUUAAUAGGUUUAAAGGGUACCUAGACGGUAUUUUUAGCCCAUAACAGGGUACGGAUUUACUAGAGUUAUAUGUGAGAGGGGAGUACUGAUAGAGUAGAGAUGAAAUUUUUUUAUACUAUGGGGAGACUGGUAGAGGCGAAAGCAACCUUCUAUGUAAAUAUGAUAUACAUGGCUUAACUAUCUUAAAAUGUUACACUAAUAACAUAGACAUGUAUUAAUUUUAAUUAAUUUAUAUAAAUAACUGACGUUGAGGGACGAAGGCCUGGGUAGCAAACAGGAUUAGAUACCCCAGUAGUCCAGGCAGAGAAUUAUGAAUGCCAUAGACUAGAUAAUAGAAAAAGAGAUAGCGGGGGAUUUAUAUUCUUUAUAGCCUUAUAAGAUAGUUAUAAAGCAAUAAGGCUAUAAAGAGAUAACAGAGAUUUAUAUUCUGUUAUCUCUUUAUUUAGUAAAUCUGUAAUAACUAAGGCUAUUUAACCUUGUUUUCUGGAUUACCCAUAUAAUUAGUCUAUAAAUAAAAGUGCAAGCAUUCCACCUUAAGAGUAAUGUGGCAACGCUGGAACUGAAAUCAUUAGACCGUUUCUGAAACCAGUAGUGAAGUAUGUUGUUUAAUUCGAUUAUCCGCGAAAAACCUUACCACAAUUUGAAUGUUAUCUAUUAUUACAAGUGUUGCACGGCUGUCGUCAGUUAAUGUCGUGAGAUUAUGGUUUUUCCAUUAAAUUAACGUAAACCCUUGCUUUAUUUAUUAUUUUUUUUUUAUAAAGUAGUUCACCACUAGGUUAUUUUGGUAAUAGGGACUAAGACAAGUCAUCAUGGCCUUAAUAUUGUGGGCUACAAACGUGCCACAUAUGCCUAUACAAAGGGAUGCUAUAAUGUGAAUUACAGCUAAUCCCAAAAACAUGGAUAUAACAU